GGACGGACCGCUAGUGUACCGGUUGUUCCGCCAGGAGCAUAAGCCGGGUAGCCAUGUUCGGAUUCGAUAACCGCUGAAGGCAUCUAAGCGGGAAGCGAGCCCCAAGAUGAGAUACCCCACUGCGUUAAGCAGAUAAGGUGUCCUGAAGAUGACAGGAUAGAUAGGUCGGGUGUGUAAGCGGGUAACGCCCGUUGAGCUGACCGAUACUAAUACACCGAAGCCUUAACCUC
This 230-nucleotide ribosomal RNA is filed under the name Synergistaceae bacterium. Its description in RNAcentral is "partial 23S ribosomal RNA". It matches the Rfam family "Bacterial large subunit ribosomal RNA", at positions 2699 to 2925 of the family's 2925-position model. Lineage: Bacteria; Thermotogati; Synergistota; Synergistia; Synergistales; Synergistaceae. The record is from RNAcentral.